RNAcentral lists this unclassified non-coding RNA (391 nucleotides) under soil metagenome. RNAcentral's name for it is "partial contains 5.8S ribosomal RNA, internal transcribed spacer 2, and large subunit ribosomal RNA". The stretch from base 1 to 122 matches the Rfam family "5.8S ribosomal RNA", at positions 35 to 154 of the family's 154-position model. The record is from RNAcentral.
GAUGAAGAACGCAGCGAAAUGCGAUACUUGGUGUGAAUUGCAGAAUCCCGUGAACCAUCAAGUCUUUGAACGCAAGUUGCGCCCGAAGCCAUUAGGCCGAGGGCACGCCUGCCUGGGCGUCACACGUCGUUGCCCCCCCAUCUACUCCUUCGGGAUUGCGGGGGGCGGAUGAUGGCCUCCCGUGCGCCUUGUCGCGCGGUUGGCAUAAAUGCCAAGUCCUCGGCGACGCACGCCACGACAAUCGGUGGUUGCGAAACCUCGGUUGCCCGUCGUGUGCGGUCGUCGCGCAUCGAGGGCUCGAAAAAAUUGUCGGGCUCCGGCUCGGCUUUCAACGCGACCCCAGGUCAGGCGGGGUUACCCGCUGAAUUUAAGCAUAUCAAUAAGCGGAGGA